UGUAAGCGUAUACCAAAGUUGUUGCAGUUAAAACGCUCGUAGUCGGAAUUUGGCAGUUCCGGAUGUGUGCACGUCGUGUGCGCACUUCGCGGGGAUUGCUUUUGUGGUCUUGCGUAGGAUGAGGCACUUUUAUUAGUGAACGUCCUCACGCAACCACUUUUUACUGUGAGAAAAUCAGAGUGCUCAAAGCAGGCAUUUGCCGUGAAUGUAUUAGCAUGGAAUAAUAGAAUAGGACUUGGUUCUAUUUUGUUGGUUUGUUGGGACUGAGUAAUGAUUAAGAGGGACAGUUGGGGGCAUUUGUAUUUCGGUGCUAGAGGUGAAAUUCUUAGAUUACCGAAAGACAAACUGCUGCGAAAGCGUCUGCCAGGGAUGUUUUCAUUGA
RNAcentral lists this ribosomal RNA (382 nucleotides) under uncultured eukaryote. RNAcentral describes it as "partial 18S ribosomal RNA". It matches the Rfam family "Eukaryotic small subunit ribosomal RNA", at positions 592 to 976 of the family's 1831-position model. The record is from RNAcentral.